Molecule: ribosomal RNA, 450 nt
Filed under: uncultured bacterium
Lineage: Bacteria
Description: partial 16S ribosomal RNA
Rfam family: Bacterial small subunit ribosomal RNA
Source: RNAcentral
GUGGGGAAUCUUCCGCAAUGGACGAAAGUCUGACGGAGCAACGUCGCGUGAGUGAUGAAGGUCUUCGGAUUGUAAAGCUCUGUUAAUCGGGACGAAAGAGCCUAGUGUGAAUAAUGCUAGGAAGUGACGGUACCGGAAUAGAAAGCCACGGCUAACUACGUGCCAGCAGCCGCGGUAAUACGUAGGUGGCAAGCGUUGUCCGGAAUUAUUGGGCGUAAAGCGCGCGCAGGCGGAUCUGCCAGUCUGUCUUAAAAGUGCGGGGCUUAACCCCGUGAUGGGAUGGAAACUACAGAUCUAGAGUAUCGGAGAGGAAAGUGGAAUUCCUAGUGUAGCGGUGAAAUGCGUAGAUAUUAGGAAGAACACCAGUGGCGAAGGCGACUUUCUGGACGAAAACUGACGCUGAGGCGCGAAAGCCAGGGGAGCGAACGGGAUUAGAUACCCGGGUAGUCC